UUCGAUUAGAGUUUGAUCCUGGCUCAGGACGAACGCUGGCGGCGUGCCUAAUACAUGCAAGUCGAGCGAACAGAGAAGGAGCUUGCUCCUUCGACGUUAGCGGCGGACGGGUGAGUAACACGUGGGCAACCUACCUUAUAGUUUGGGAUAACUCCGGGAAACCGGGGCUAAUACCGAAUAAUCUGUUUCACCUCAUGGUGAAACACUGAAAGACGGUUUCGGCUGUCGCUAUAGGAUGGGCCCGCGGCGCAUUAGCUAGUUGGUGAGGUAACGGCUCACCAAGGCGACGAUGCGUAGCCGACCUGAGAGGGUGAUCGGCCACACUGGGACUGAGACACGGCCCAGACUCCUACGGGAGGCAGCAGUAGGGAAUCUUCCACAAUGGGCGAAAGCCUGAUGGAGCAACGCCGCGUGAGUGAAGAAGGAUUUCGGUUCGUAAAACUCUGUUGUAAGGGAAGAACAAGUACAGUAGUAACUGGCUGUACCUUGACGGUACCUUAUUAGAAAGCCACGGCUAACUACGUGCCAGCAGCCGCGGUAAUACGUAGGUGGCAAGCGUUGUCCGGAAUUAUUGGGCGUAAAGCGCGCGCAGGUGGUUUCUUAAGUCUGAUGUGAAAGCCCACGGCUCAACCGUGGAGGGUCAUUGGAAACUGGGAGACUUGAGUGCAGAAGAGGAUAGUGGAAUUCCAAGUGUAGCGGUGAAAUGCGUAGAGAUUUGGAGGAACACCAGUGGCGAA
Molecule: ribosomal RNA, 737 nt
Filed under: Lysinibacillus sp. enrichment culture clone CB2-5 8b5
Lineage: Bacteria; Bacillati; Bacillota; Bacilli; Caryophanales; Bacillaceae
Description: bacterial SSU rRNA
Rfam family: Bacterial small subunit ribosomal RNA
Source: RNAcentral